Molecule: ribosomal RNA, 497 nt
Filed under: uncultured bacterium
Lineage: Bacteria
Description: partial 16S ribosomal RNA
Rfam family: Bacterial small subunit ribosomal RNA
Source: RNAcentral
GAUGAACGCUGGCGGCGUGCCUAAUACAUGCAAGUCGAGCGAACAGAUGAGGAGCUUGCUCCUCUGACGUUAGCGGCGGACGGGUGAGUAACACGUGGAUAACCUACCUAUAAGACUGGGAUAACUUCGGGAAACCGGAGCUAAUACCGGAUAAUAUAUUGAACCGCAUGGUUCAAUAGUGAAAGACGGUUUUGCUGUCACUUAUAGAUGGAUCCGCGCCGCAUUAGCUAGUUGGUAAGGUAACGGCUUACCAAGGCAACGAUGCGUAGCCGACCUGAGAGGGUGAUCGGCCACACUGGAACGGAGACACGGUCCAGACUCCUACGGGAGGCAGCAGUAGGGAAUCGUCCGCAAUGGGCGAAAGCUUGACGGAGCAACGCCGCGUGAGUGAUGAAGGUCUUCGGAUCGUAAAACUCUGUUAUUAGGGAAGAACAAAUGUGUAAGUAACUAUGCACGUCUUGACGGUACCUAAUCAGAAAGCCACGGCUAACUACGUG